Molecule: long non-coding RNA, 4381 nt
Organism: Acinonyx jubatus (cheetah)
Lineage: Eukaryota; Metazoa; Chordata; Mammalia; Carnivora; Felidae
Exons: 5
Source: RefSeq, a predicted model, not a curated record
GCCGGCCCCCGCCGCCGCCCAUUGGUCGCCACGCUGCACCAUUGUUACGUCACCAGCCGGUGGGCGGGGCGCCCGGCCAGACCCGCGGAAAAGUUGGGAGAAACUUGCGGGCGCGCGGGGGGGCGGGGCUGGCACAGGCCGAUGCGGGGCGGGGCUCCCGGAAACCCGAGCUGCGGGCGAGGAAAGGCCCCCCGGCGGCCCGGGAACGGGAGGAUGAUUGGGCCGAUUUGCGGGGUGGGUCCCGGCGCGCGCGUAGGCGCUCCGGCUCCCUGGAGUGUGACUUCCCUCGUCACCCCACAAGUCCUAUUCCACCUCCCCAGUAACCCUCUGUGACCUUGAGGGAGACCUCCGGAGCUGUUUCCCAUCAGUCCAUGGAGGGGUCAAAGGGCAGGAGCUCUGACUCCUCCUAAGGGACCCAACUGCGUUCUGCCAGGCCAGGGUCGGGGCAUCGGGAGCCCCUGCUUUAGGCUGACGUUCCCAGGGGACGGUCCAAUGGAUGCAGGCAGCUAUAAAUGAGCGCGGACUGUGUGCCAAUCUCAGUGCUAAACAUACUUGAUUUCACUUCAUUUUCACAGUCGAUAGCGGUGGAAACUAUGACCCCCCAUUCACAGGCCAGGAAAUUGAGGCUCGCAGGGAGGUGGCCUCCCAAGUGAGGAGCAGCCAGAAGGGAAACCAGGUGCUUUGCCUACUUUUCUUCAGACAUGGUGGUGGAUUGGGCCCCAGCUGCCCCAGACUCUCCACGAAGGGUCCAAGGUUUGGGGUGCCACACAUGCGGGCACCCAAGGUCAUGCUGAGACCCCACCAGAUGCCCCCACCUGAAGCACUGCCCUACCUAGGGGGGGUGUGAUCUCAUAGGCCCGCAGUGAAGCUCUUGGGGUCCAGGGCGACCACCAGAUUUAGAGAAAGUAGGUCAUUGACCCGGGAAUGUGGGAUCCACCUGCCUCGCCUAGGCUUUCCCCUGCUCCUCUCUCUAGGCCCUCAGUUUCCCUGCAUUUUCUCCCAGCUUUUCCAUUCUGGACGUCUCUGAGUAUGAUGGGGGGAGGGGCAAAGUGAAUGGAGAUCCUGGGGUUGACUGUUUGCCCUCUGGAGCCCCCAGACCCUGGGAGUGAGAGCUUCCUAGGGAAGUGGUGCCCGAGGUGAACUACCUGUGGCUCAGAGCUCGGGCCCCUUGCUUCCUCGUCCUCAUCCUUUUUCAGGGCUGGAGUUGAGACCUCAUGCCAUCUCCAGGACUACCAGUGGAGUGAGGUUGUAAGGGCAUCGGCCGCAGGUGCCAGGGUGUGCAGCUGGCCUCAGGGCAAGUCUCUCUCCACCCCUGGCUUCCCUCCUUGCCUUUCCCUUCAAUUUGUCUUCUUCACUGGGGUUCUGAAAGGCCUCUUUCUAAAAGGUCAUGUCUGACCCCAUAUCUCCACCACUUAGAAGCUUCCUGUGCACAUGAUUAGCCAGAAAGACCAGGUGGGCAGAGGAAAGGCAUUCCCCACUGAGGAACAGUUGGAGCAAAGGUCUGGGAGUGGCUGAAGAAGGCUGAAGAUGUCAGUCAGGAGGGGCCAAGGUUACUUUCAGACUCACCCUCUGGGGUACAUGCUGCUCUGGGUCGCCGAGGCAUCUUCUGCUGGUGGGAGCUGUCCCCCGUGCCUGGCACACGUGUGGUCUCGCAGAGCUUCUGGCUGUGAACAUCCUGCCUAUGUCUACUUGGGGACCGUGCUGGGGCCUGGACGCAGGGACAGGGCGUGCCCCUCCACGUCAGCCUUUUAAUGCCAGAGUACGAGCAGGGGAAGGGCAGAAAGAGGGAGACACAGAAUCCGAAGCAGGCUCCAGGCUGUCAGCACAGAGCCCGACGUGGGGCUCAAACUCACAGACUGAGAGAUCACGACCUGAGCCAAAGCCAGCCGCUUCACCCACUGAGCCACACAGGCACCCAGGUAAAUCUUGGGAGAGAAUACAGGUGACUACCAAGUAACAAGAAGGUCCUGGUUUCGAAGGUUAAUCACACGGCUACCAUAUGACUAAUGCACAUGUCAGUACCAUGCAGCCACAGUCAAGAGCAAAGAGCCUGAGCUCCUCAUUCGUCAAGUGGAGAGAAUCUGCCACAGAGAGCCGUCCUGAGGGGUAUGGAGCUCUCAUAGGACACAGCUCUGCCUGGCACCGAGUUAGCCUCCAAAACUGAGCUGUUAGGAUUUCUUUGUAAAUAUUUCAACACAAAAAUGUUAAAAGAAAAAGCAUACAUAUUGUUUGGAAAGUGCUGGAGGCCACACAUUGAUCUCUUGCCAGCAGUGUCUCUUGGGGAGAGAAUCGGCAAGAAGGAGGAAGGGACCCUUUUAGUUCUUAUUCUCUGGACCUUCUUUGUGGUUUGAAUCUUUCAUGAGGGGCACAUACUCAGAUAUCAUUUGUGCAAUUAAGGUAAGUUUUAUUUAUUUAUUUAUUUAUUAAUUAUUUAUUUAUUUAUUUAUUUAUUUUCUUUAAAUAUCCUCUAAGCCCAACGAGGGCUUGAACUCACAACCCUGAGGUCAAGAGUCACACACUCUACUGGCUGGGCUAGCCAGGCACCCCAAGCUAAGUUUUUAGAGAGGCAGUUUCCAUUGGCAAACUGCUAUCUCAUGGCCAUUAUCUCAUUGACUUACCCAGCAAGGUAGGUUGGAUCAUCAGCCCACUUUGCAGGCGGGGAAACUGAGGCUCAAGGGGACAGAGCUUUGCCCACAGAGAUGGAACCUAUAAGCUUUGUGUUGUCCCAAGAAGAGAAGGCUUUGGUUUCAUGAGUUCCAGGCUGAUGAGGCUGCGGCCCCCUCCUCCUAGAAGUCUCUCCCACUCACAGAAUGGGAGGCCUCAGAUGCAGGUUGGGGUGGUGGGUCAGGGGCCCUCCAUCCCUGGCCAGGGGAGUCGGCAGUCAGCCAGCACUUCUAAGCAGCUUCACUCAUUAGUUUAUCCAACAAACGGGCCCUUAGAGCCUGUUCUGAGGACCAGACGUGAGUGGGCAGGAGAGGCUUCCGGGAGGAGUCACCUGUACCCUCUUGCGUCAUCAGUCAAGUCCCAAGGGCCGGUGUCCACUCUGACCCCAUCCGUCUGCACUGCUCCAGCCCACCUCCCAGGUCAGGCUGCCCACCCCACUCCAGGCUGCAGUCCCAACUCCAGCCCUUGCUCAUGCUGUUCCCUCUGGCCUAGAUGGCCAGUCCCCAGAAGUCCAUGUGGACCCAUUUCAGGUGUCACCUGACUAAAGGAGCCCCCCCACCCCAGCCUCUUUGGGUGCCUACCUCAGUGUCCUGCACUCCUGGGGGCUUCUCCUCUGUCAGACCACAGGGAGGGGCCCGCCUGCCCCUGCAGGAGGGCAGUGGGUGCCCCAUAAAUGCUGAUGACUAAGUGGAGAAGGAGUUAGGUGGGUGGAUGAGGUCAGGACACCCCACGGUGGGGGGAGCAGGCAGGGGUGGGAGCCUAGCCUGGUUGGCUGUGGGGAGUGAUGCCUGAGGUGCCCUGGAGGGCUGGGAGCAGGAAGUCCGUGAUUCAUCUGGGCUGCACCAGAGUCCUGGCCACUAGGAAGCCCUAAGCACAAGGGGGAGACUCAACAGAGAGGCCCAGCCCAAGUGCAGACUGUGGGACACAGACCACGCUCCUCAGAUGGAGGCCUCCUCCAGCUGCCCUGGGGACAGCAAAAGUGGCAGGAGGGGAGGUUGGCAGGCACAGAAAGCAGUGGGGAAGGCAGAAGGCCAAACUUGUCCUCCCUCCCCCGCCAGUGCAAGGGCACAGGACAGCUGCCAGGCUGUGUGACCUUGGAAGCGACAGUGCCCCCUGAGGGCCAAGAAGUAUGUGGCUAAGCCCUCUGGGUCGCCCUGGGAAGUGGCAGCAAGCUGAACACCCAGGGCCAUGGGGACAAGCACAGCCAAAGUGGACCAGGCUAAGACAGCCCCCCACUGUCUGAGCCUCCCGCCUUAUUUUCCAUUGCUCCCUCUUGCGUAGAGAGUUCUGGCUUGCGGGGUGCCUGGUUGGCUCAGUGGGUUAAGUGUCUGACUCUUGGUUUUGGCUCAUGGUUUCAGCUCAGGUCAUGAUCUCAUGGUUGGUGGGAUCCAGCCCCUUGUGGGGUUUUGUUCUGAUGGUGUGGAGCCGGCUUGGGAUUCUGGGAUUCUCUCUCUCUCUCUCUCUCUGCCCCUCCCCAUAGAACAUUAAAAAGGGGGGGGGGCACCUGAGUGGUUCAGUCAGUUAAGCAUCUGACUUUGGCUCAGGUCAUGAUCUCUCCAUCUAUGGGUUUGAGCCCAGCGUGGGUCUCUGUGCUGACAGCAUGGAGCCCGGAGCCUGCUUCCGAUUCUGUGUCUCCCUCUCUCUCUGCCCCUGCCCCCUGCUCACAUUCUGUCUCUGUCUCAAAAACAAACAUUAAAAUAAUAAUAAUAAUAAUCAU